This is a long non-coding RNA of Pollicipes pollicipes, 483 nucleotides long. RefSeq lists it as uncharacterized. NCBI's taxonomy places the organism in Eukaryota, Metazoa, Arthropoda, Thecostraca, Pollicipedomorpha, Pollicipedidae. The transcript is spliced from 3 exons. The record is from RefSeq and is a predicted model, not a curated record.
UGCUGUCAGUGACCCCGUCACCCGCCAGUCUCACCAGGACUGGGUGAGGUCUAUGGUGAACCUUGCAGCGCCUCUGCCCAGGUCAAGAAAAGACGUCCAAGCUGCCAGGGACUUCAGAGAAAGCAACUGGAGCGCUACUCACGCCGGGCAGCAGUGGAAGGAGGCGGGAGGCUCCUCAUCGCGACAGUCAGAUCACAAGUGUGUGCAUGAGUACUACAUCAACUCACGACUGUUCCCGGUGCCGCUGUACACGGACGACGAGGGACGCAGCCGAUGUCCCGUCUGCCUGGCUGUGGGGCCGUCACCGAAGGGCGCGCCACGCCGCGGCCGCUCACAGUCGCCCGGCGCCACCAGAGCCGGGCGGCCCCGCUCCCGCUCCCCCGUGGCUCCCCGGGCGAGCCGCUCACGUGCCAGCUCUAAUGAGGUGUUUAGAGACGCGCGCUCGCGCUGCUCCUCCGCCACGUCCACCAGGGCGGUGCGGUC